RNAcentral lists this ribosomal RNA (399 nucleotides) under uncultured bacterium. RNAcentral's name for it is "partial 16S ribosomal RNA". It matches the Rfam family "Bacterial small subunit ribosomal RNA", at positions 338 to 734 of the family's 1533-position model. The record is from RNAcentral.
CCUACGGGUGGCUGCAGUGAGGAAUAUUGGUCAAUGGACGAGAGCCUGAACCAGCCAAGUCGCGUGAGGGAUGACUGCUCUAUGGUUUGUAAACUUCUUUUAUAUGGGAAUAAACUAGGGUAUGCAUACCGCCUUGUAUGUACCUUAUGAAUAAGGAUCGGCUAACUCCGUGCCAGCAGCCGCGGUAAUACGGAGGAUCCGAGCGUUAUCCGGAUUUAUUGGGUUUAAAGGGAGCGUAGGUGGAUUUUUAAGUCAGUUGUGAAAGUUUGCGGCUCAACCGUAGAAUUGCAGUUGAAACUGGCAGUCUUGAGUAUAGUAGAGGUAGGCGGAAGUCGUGGUGUAGCGGUGAAAUGCUUAGAUAUCACGAAGAACUCCGAUUGCGAAGGCAGCUCACUAGAC